GCGGGUGGUGGUUCUCACCGCGGUUCCACCCGCUGCCUAUGAACAUCAUGAAGAAGAGAGGAAGAAGAUGGUUCCCGAAACUUGGCUUU
Molecule: long non-coding RNA, 89 nt
Organism: Ipomoea nil (Japanese morning glory)
Lineage: Eukaryota; Viridiplantae; Streptophyta; Magnoliopsida; Solanales; Convolvulaceae
Exons: 3
Source: RefSeq, a predicted model, not a curated record